CUUCCGCCGGCGACCGGCGCACGGGUGAGUAACACGUAUGCAACCUGCCCCUGUCAGGGGGACAACCCGCCGAAAGGCGGGCUAAACCCGCGUACAUGCCACCGGGGCAUCCCGGAGGCAGGAAAGGCUUCGGCCGGACAGGGAUGGGCAUGCGGCGCAUUAGGCAGUAGGCGGGGUAACGGCCCACCUAACCGACGAUGCGUAGGGGUUCUGAGAGGAAGGCCCCCCACACUGGUACUGAGACACGGACCAGACUCCUACGGAAGGCAGCAG
Molecule: ribosomal RNA, 273 nt
Filed under: uncultured bacterium
Lineage: Bacteria
Description: partial 16S ribosomal RNA
Rfam family: Bacterial small subunit ribosomal RNA
Source: RNAcentral